RNAcentral lists this ribosomal RNA (496 nucleotides) under uncultured bacterium. Its description in RNAcentral is "partial 16S ribosomal RNA". It matches the Rfam family "Bacterial small subunit ribosomal RNA", at positions 29 to 507 of the family's 1533-position model. The record is from RNAcentral.
AUGAACGCUGGCGGCGUGCCUCAUCCAUGCAAGUCGAGCGAACAGAUGAGGAGCUUGCUCCUCUGACGUUAGCGGCGGACGGGUGAGUAACACGUGGAUAACCUACCUAUAAGACUGGGAUAACUUCGGGAAACCGGAGCUAAUACCGGAUAAUAUAUUGAACCGCAUGGUUCAAUAGUGAAAGACGGUUUUGCUGUCACUUAUAGAUGAAUCCGCGCCGCAUUAGCUAGUUGGUAAGGUAACGGCUUACCAAGGCAACGAUGCGUAGCCGAACUGAGAGGGGGAUAGGCCACACUGGAACUGGAACAGGGACCAGACUCCUACGGGAGGGAGCAGUAGGGAAUCUUCCGCAAUGGGCGAAAGCCUGACGGAGCAACGCCGCGUGAGUGAUGAAGGUCUUCGGAUCGUAAAACUCUGUUAUUAGGGAAGAACAAAUGUGUAAGUAACUAUGCACGUCUUGACGGUACCUAAUCAGAAAGCCACGGCUAACUACGUG